GCUAUCACUUGAGGGAUGGACCCGCGGCGUAUUAGCCAGUUGGUGGGGUAAUGGCCUACCAAAGCGAUGAUACGUAGCCGACCUGAGAGGGUAAUCGGCCACAUUGGGACUGAGACACGGCCCAAACUCCUACGGGAGGCAGCAGUAGGGAAUCUUCCACAAUGGACGCAAGUCUGAUGGAGCAACGCCGCGUGAGUGAAGAAGGCUUUCGGGUCGUAAAACUCUGUUAUUGAAGAGGAACGUGUGUGAGAGUAACUGCUCAUGCAGUGACGGUAUUCAACCAGAAAGUCACGGCUAACUACGUGCCAGCAGCCGCGGUAAUACGUAGGUGGCAAGCGUUGUCCGGAUUUAUUGGGCGUAAAGCGAGUGCAGGCGGUUUUUUAAGUCUGAUGUGAAAGCCUUCGGCUUAACCGAAGAAGUGCAUCGGAAACUGGGAAACUUGAGUGCAGAAGAGGAGAGUGGAACUCCAUGUGUAGCGGUGAAAUGCGUAGAUAUAUGGAAGAACACCAGUGGCGAAGG
This 519-nucleotide ribosomal RNA is filed under the name uncultured Bacilli bacterium. RNAcentral describes it as "bacterial SSU rRNA". It matches the Rfam family "Bacterial small subunit ribosomal RNA", at positions 210 to 721 of the family's 1533-position model. The record is from RNAcentral. Lineage: Bacteria; Bacillati; Bacillota; Bacilli.